This 247-nucleotide ribosomal RNA is filed under the name uncultured bacterium. RNAcentral describes it as "partial 16S ribosomal RNA". It matches the Rfam family "Bacterial small subunit ribosomal RNA", at positions 57 to 305 of the family's 1533-position model. The record is from RNAcentral.
GCAAGUCGAGCGAGAACCCUUCUUCGGAAGGCAGACAGCGGCGCACGGGUGAGUAACGCGUACACAAUCUACCUUUCAGUGUGGAAUAGCCCUGGGAAACUGGGAUUAAUACCGCAUAGUAUUUAAGACUGGCAUCAGUUUUAAAUUAAAGCUCCGGCGCUGAGAGAUGAGUGUGCGUACUAUUAGCUAGUUGGUAAGGUAAUGGCUUACCAAGGCUACGAUAGUUAGGGGGCGUGAGAGCGUGACC